GGUGAACGCUGGCGGCGUGCUUGACACAUGCAAGUCGAACGGUAUGUGGCAACACAUAGAGUGGCGAACGGGUGAGUAACACGUGGGAACGUAUCUUUUGCAGGGGGAUAACUGACCGAAAGGACAGCUAAUACCGCAUAAGUCCGGGAGGAGAAAGGUGCAACAGCAUCGGCAGAAGAGCGGCCCGCGGUCCAUCAGCUAGUUGGUGAGGUAAGGGCUUACCAAGGCGACGACGGAUAGCCGGCGUGAGAGCGUGGCCCCCCACAAUGGAACUGAAACACGGUCCAUACACCUACGGGUGGCAGCAGUAGGGAAUAUUAGAAAUGGGCGAAAGCCUGAUCCAGCAAUGCCGCGUGAGUGAUGAAGGCCUUAGGGUCGUAAAGCUCUUUUACCAGGGAUGAUAAUGACAGUACCUGGAGAAUAAGCUCCGGCUAACUCCGUG
Molecule: ribosomal RNA, 442 nt
Filed under: uncultured bacterium
Lineage: Bacteria
Description: bacterial SSU rRNA
Rfam family: Bacterial small subunit ribosomal RNA
Source: RNAcentral